RNAcentral lists this small RNA (70 nucleotides) under Flavobacterium degerlachei. RNAcentral's name for it is "Flavo-1 RNA". It matches the Rfam family "Flavo-1 RNA". Lineage: Bacteria; Pseudomonadati; Bacteroidota; Flavobacteriia; Flavobacteriales; Flavobacteriaceae. The record is from RNAcentral.
UUUUAGCCCUGAUGGCAGCGGCAUCCCACGCAUUUUUUUUGCAUGGAUACAGCGAACAGCAGGAAAUAGC